Molecule: long non-coding RNA, 354 nt
Filed under: Olea europaea subsp. europaea
Lineage: Eukaryota; Viridiplantae; Streptophyta; Magnoliopsida; Lamiales; Oleaceae
Source: RNAcentral
CCCCAACCUUAAGGGCUCCCACCGACCUUGCCCUGGGCCAUCGUGGAGGAGGUAAAUCGCAGGAUGUGCCUCCCAGGAGCCAGAGUGAAGAGCACAUGGAUAGGUCAAGGCUGUUAACCCAUAUGGUAACUCCCGCUUGCAACAAAGCCAAUUCCACCUUGCGGGGAAUCGAACUCUGCACACUGCCGUGCUGAGCCCUAUCCGUCCUCCCCUUUGCCACUGGGAGAUAUGCCCUGGGGGCGGUGAUUCCUAUUUAUAGUAUUACUUUGAGACGCCUUACUCAAUAUAUAACUUUCAUGCCUUUCAAAGUGUGAAAUGGAGAAAAUUUUAGGAGCUUCAAUCAUGGUGAUUGAG